Molecule: ribosomal RNA, 472 nt
Filed under: uncultured bacterium
Lineage: Bacteria
Description: partial 16S ribosomal RNA
Rfam family: Bacterial small subunit ribosomal RNA
Source: RNAcentral
GACGAACGCUGGCGGCGUGCUUAACACAUGCAAGUCGAACGCUGAAGCUUGGUGCUUGCACUGGGUGGAUGAGUGGCGAACGGGUGAGUAAUACGUGAGUAACCUGCCCUUGACUCUGGGAUAAGCCUGGGAAACUGGGUCUAAUACUGGAUACGACAUGUCACCGCAUGGUGGUGUGUGGAAAGGGUUUUACUGGUUUUGGAUGGGCUCACGGCCUAUCAGCUUGUUGGUGGGGUAAUGGCUCACCAAGGCGACGACGGGUAGCCGGCCUGAGAGGGUGACCGGCCACACUGGGACUGAGACACGGCCCAGACUCCUACGGGAGGCAGCAGUGGGGAAUAUUGCACAAUGGGCGGAAGCCUGAUGCAGCGACGCCGCGUGAGGGAUGACGGCCUUCGGGUUGUAAACCUCUUUCAGCACGGAAGAAGCGAAAGUGACGGUACGUGCAGAAGAAGCGCCGGCUAACUACGUG